CCCCUAGAUGUUCUGGGCCGCACGCACGCUACACUGAACAGUUCAACAAGUCUUAACCUUGGCCGAUAGGUCUGGGUAAUCUUUGAACGCUGUUCGUGAUUGGGAUAGACCUUUGCAAUUAUGGGUCUUCAACGAGGAAUUCCUAGUAAACGCAAGUCAUCAGCUUGCAUUGAUUACGUCCCUGCCCUUUGUACACACCGCCCGUCGCACCUACCGAUUGAAUGGUCCGGUGAAAUCUCGGGACGGCGGCUUGGUCGCUUGCGUCCGACUGCUGAAACUUGAUUAAACCAUAUCAUUUAGAGGAAGGUGAAGUCGUAACA
This 320-nucleotide ribosomal RNA is filed under the name uncultured eukaryote. Its description in RNAcentral is "partial 18S ribosomal RNA". It matches the Rfam family "Eukaryotic small subunit ribosomal RNA", at positions 1470 to 1796 of the family's 1831-position model. The record is from RNAcentral.